Molecule: ribosomal RNA, 453 nt
Filed under: uncultured Parabacteroides sp.
Lineage: Bacteria; Pseudomonadati; Bacteroidota; Bacteroidia; Bacteroidales; Tannerellaceae
Description: partial 16S ribosomal RNA
Rfam family: Bacterial small subunit ribosomal RNA
Source: RNAcentral
ACGGGAGGCAGCAGUGAGGAAUAUUGGUCAUUGGGCGGAAGCCUGAACCAGCCAAGUCGCGUGAAGGAUGAAGGUAUUAUGUAUUGUAAACUUCUUUAGUCGCAGAGAAAUAAGGAUCUCGAGAGAUCUGAUGCUAGUAUGCGAAGAAUAAGGAUCGGCUAACUCCGUGCCAGCAGCCGCGGUAAUACGGAGGAUCCGAGCGUUAUCCGGAUUUAUUGGGUUUAAAGGGUGCGCAGGCGGUCUUUUAAGUCAGUGGUCAAACCGCGGAGCUCAACUCCGUCCCGCCAUUGAUACUGGGAGACUUGAUUGCGGUCGAGGUUGGCGGAAUUCGUCGUGUAGCGGUGAAAUGCAUAGAUAUGACGAAGAACACCGAUUGCGUAGGCAGCUGACCAGGCCGUAAAUGACGCUCAUGCACGAAAGUGCGGGGAUCGAACAGGAUUAGAUACCCUGGUA